RNAcentral lists this transfer RNA (61 nucleotides) under Populicerus albostriatus. Its description in RNAcentral is "tRNA-Asp". It matches the Rfam family "tRNA". From Rfam's summary of the family: Transfer RNA (tRNA) molecules are approximately 80 nucleotides in length. Their secondary structure includes four short double-helical elements and three loops (D, anti-codon, and T loops). Further hydrogen bonds mediate the characteristic L-shaped molecular structure. tRNAs have two regions of fundamental functional importance: the anti-codon, which is responsible for specific mRNA codon recognition, and the 3' end, to which the tRNAs corresponding amino acid is attached (by aminoacyl-tRNA synthetases). tRNAs cope with the degeneracy of the genetic code in two manners: having more than one tRNA (with a specific anti-codon) for a particular amino acid; and 'wobble' base-pairing, i.e. permitting non-standard base-pairing at the 3rd anti-codon position. The record is from RNAcentral. Lineage: Eukaryota; Metazoa; Arthropoda; Insecta; Hemiptera; Cicadellidae. RNAcentral also lists the same sequence under 1 other name.
AAAGAUUUAGUUUAAUAAAACAUUAACUUGUCAAGUUAAAAUUACUUUUAAGUAAUCUUUU